CGCGGGUGGAGCAGCUUGGUAGCUCGUCGGGCUCAUAACCCGAAGGCCGUCGGUUCAAAUCCGGCCCCCGCAACCA
This 76-nucleotide transfer RNA is filed under the name Pasteurella multocida subsp. multocida str. Anand1_buffalo. RNAcentral describes it as "tRNA-Met". It matches the Rfam family "tRNA". Rfam says of the family: Transfer RNA (tRNA) molecules are approximately 80 nucleotides in length. The record is from RNAcentral. Lineage: Bacteria; Pseudomonadati; Pseudomonadota; Gammaproteobacteria; Pasteurellales; Pasteurellaceae.